GAUGAACGCUGGCGGCGUGCCUAAUACAUGCAAGUCGAGCGAACGGACGAGAAACUUGCUUCUCUGAUGUUAGCGGCGGACGGGGGAGUAACACGUGGAUAACCUACCUAUAAGACUGGGAUAACUUCGGGAAACCGGAGCUAAUACCGGAUAAUAUUUUGAACCGCAUGGUUCAAAAGUGAAAGACGGUCUUGCUGUCACUUAUAGAUGGAUCCGCGCUGCAUUAGCUAGUUGGUAAGGUAACGGCUUACCAAGGCAACGAUGCAUAGCCGACCUGAGAGGGUGAUCGGCCACACUGGAACUGAGACACGGUCCAGACUCCUACGGGAGGCAGCAGUAGGGAAUCUUCCGCAAUGGGCGAAAGCCUGACGGAGCAACGCCGCGUGAGUGAUGAAGGUCUUCGGAUCGUAAAACUCUGUUAUUAGGGAAGAACAUAUGUGUAAGUAACUGUGCACAUCUUGACGGUACCUAAUCAGAAAGCCACGGCUAACUACGUG
Molecule: ribosomal RNA, 497 nt
Filed under: uncultured bacterium
Lineage: Bacteria
Description: partial 16S ribosomal RNA
Rfam family: Bacterial small subunit ribosomal RNA
Source: RNAcentral